GUCCCAGUAGUAUAAAUAUUACUCUG
RNAcentral lists this transfer RNA (26 nucleotides) under Oryctolagus cuniculus (rabbit). RNAcentral's name for it is "partial transfer RNA-Thr". The record is from RNAcentral. Lineage: Eukaryota; Metazoa; Chordata; Mammalia; Lagomorpha; Leporidae.